UGCCAAACAUGCACUCAUCCAGGA
RNAcentral lists this non-coding RNA (24 nucleotides) under Mus musculus (house mouse). The record is from RNAcentral. Lineage: Eukaryota; Metazoa; Chordata; Mammalia; Rodentia; Muridae.